RNAcentral lists this RNase P RNA (376 nucleotides) under Pseudomonadota bacterium. RNAcentral describes it as "Proteobacteria bacterium (groundwater metagenome) RNase P RNA component class A". It matches the Rfam family "Bacterial RNase P class A". From Rfam's summary of the family: Ribonuclease P (RNase P) is a ubiquitous endoribonuclease, found in archaea, bacteria and eukarya as well as chloroplasts and mitochondria. Its best characterised activity is the generation of mature 5'-ends of tRNAs by cleaving the 5'-leader elements of precursor-tRNAs. Cellular RNase Ps are ribonucleoproteins. Lineage: Bacteria; Pseudomonadati; Pseudomonadota. The record is from RNAcentral.
CGAGCAGAGCAGAUGAUCGCCGGUCCGUCAUCCCGGACCGGAGGAAAGUCCGAACUCCGCAGGGCAGGAUGGUCGCUAACGGCGACUGGGGGUGACCCUAAGGAAAGUGCCACAGAAAAGACACCGCCUUUCCCGAAGAGGGCAAGGUAAGGGUGAAAAGGCGAGGUAAGAGCUCACCAGUUUCCCGGGUGACCGGGAAAGCUUGGCAAACCCCAUCCGGAGCAAGACCAAAUAGGAGAACGGGGCGGCCCGCCCCGAUGUUCUCGGGUUGCGUCGCUUGAGGCGGCCGGCAACGGCCGUCCCAGAGGAAUGAUCAUCGCCGCCUUCAGGGCGACCGGGAGGCGGAACAGGAUUCGGCUUAUGACCUGCUCGGACA